RNAcentral lists this transfer RNA (93 nucleotides) under Oscillospiraceae bacterium. RNAcentral describes it as "tRNA-Ser". It matches the Rfam family "tRNA". Rfam says of the family: Transfer RNA (tRNA) molecules are approximately 80 nucleotides in length. Their secondary structure includes four short double-helical elements and three loops (D, anti-codon, and T loops). Lineage: Bacteria; Bacillati; Bacillota; Clostridia; Eubacteriales; Oscillospiraceae. RNAcentral also lists the same sequence under 1 other name. The record is from RNAcentral.
GGAGAGUUGUCCGAGCUGGCCGAAGGAGCACGACUGGAAAUCGUGUAAACGGUUACCGCCGUUUCGAGGGUUCGAAUCCCUUGCUCUCCGCCA